CACUCUGGAGAAGCCCACAUCCGCUGUGGGGGCCGAAGGGGCAACGCGCCGCGACACAAAGCAGCGCCAAUCUCUCAGGCAAAAGGACAGGGUCGGA
Molecule: non-coding RNA, 97 nt
Filed under: bovine gut metagenome
Description: Glycine riboswitch
Rfam family: Glycine riboswitch aptamer
About the family: This family represents the bacterial glycine riboswitch.
Source: RNAcentral